UGCUAUCGGGGUUCGAUUAAGCCAUGCGAGUCGAGAGGUGCAAGACCUCGGCGCACUGCUCAGUAACACGUGGACAACCUACCCUGAGGAGAGGGAUAACCCCGGAAAACUGGGGAUAAUACCUCAUAGACCAGGGAUGCUGGAAUGCUUCCUGGUCCAAAGGUCCGCCGCCUCAGGAUGGGUCUGCGGCCGAUUAGGUUGUUGUUGGGGUAACGGCCCAACAAGCCUUUGAUCGGUACGGGUUGUGGGAGCAAGAGCCCGGAGAUGGAUUCUGAGACACGAAUCCAGGCCCUACGGGGCGCAGCAGGCGCGAAAACUUUACAAUGCGAGAAAUCGUGAUAAGGGAACCCCGAGUGCCCGUAAAUCCGGGCUGUCCGCCAGUGUAAAAAACUGGUGAAGAAAGGGCCGGGUAAGACCGGUGCCAGCCGCCGCGGUAAUACCGGCGGCUCGAGUGGUGGCCGCUAUUACUGGGCUUAAAGCGUUCGUAGCUGGGCUGUUAAG
Molecule: ribosomal RNA, 501 nt
Filed under: uncultured archaeon
Lineage: Archaea
Description: bacterial SSU rRNA
Rfam family: Archaeal small subunit ribosomal RNA
Source: RNAcentral